Molecule: ribosomal RNA, 430 nt
Filed under: uncultured bacterium
Lineage: Bacteria
Description: bacterial SSU rRNA
Rfam family: Archaeal small subunit ribosomal RNA
Source: RNAcentral
GCGCGAAAACUUCACACUGUGCGAAAGCACGAUGAGGGAAUCCCAAGUGCUGGCUCGUAAGAGUCAGCUGUUUUUCUGUCUAGAAAACAGAGAGAGUAAGAGCUGGGUAAGACGGGUGCCAGCCGCCGCGGUAAUACCUGCAGCUCAAGUGGUGGCCGCUAUUAUUGGGCCUAAAACGUUCGUAGCCGGUCUAGUAAAUGCCUGGGUAAAUCAUACGGCUUAACCGUACGAAUUCCGGGUAGACUGCUGGACUUGGGACUGGGAGAGGCUAGAGGUACUCCUGGGGUAGAGGUGAAAUUCUGUAAUCCUAGGGGGACGACCAGUGGCGAAGGCGUCUAGCUAGAACAGGUCUGACGGUGAGGAACGAAGCCCUGGGGCGCAAACGGGAUUAGAUACCCCCGUAGUCCCUGAGCGGGCUGGCAAGGCGCAU